UCCCAGCCUACCAGAAACACCAAAAC
Molecule: non-coding RNA, 26 nt
Filed under: Homo sapiens (human)
Lineage: Eukaryota; Metazoa; Chordata; Mammalia; Primates; Hominidae
Source: RNAcentral